This 76-nucleotide transfer RNA is filed under the name Amaricoccus macauensis. RNAcentral describes it as "tRNA-Arg". It matches the Rfam family "tRNA". From Rfam's summary of the family: Transfer RNA (tRNA) molecules are approximately 80 nucleotides in length. Lineage: Bacteria; Pseudomonadati; Pseudomonadota; Alphaproteobacteria; Rhodobacterales; Paracoccaceae. RNAcentral also lists the same sequence under 1 other name. The record is from RNAcentral.
GGUCCCGUAGCUCAGUGGAUAGAGCGGGCGCCUCCUAAGCGUCAGGUCGCGCGUUCGAAUCGCGCCGGGAUCGCCA